Non-coding RNA from Chrysoperla carnea, 73 nucleotides. The record is from the annotation of a RefSeq genome assembly. NCBI's taxonomy places the organism in Eukaryota, Metazoa, Arthropoda, Insecta, Neuroptera, Chrysopidae.
CCUUUAAUAGCUCAGUUGGUAGAGCGGUGGACUGUAGUUCCAUAGGCCGUUGGUUCAAAUCCGGCUCAAAGGA